UCAACGAGUGAAGGGCGUGGAGAGCCCGC
RNAcentral lists this small RNA (29 nucleotides) under Bombyx mori (domestic silkworm). Its description in RNAcentral is "ovarian small RNA-6759". Lineage: Eukaryota; Metazoa; Arthropoda; Insecta; Lepidoptera; Bombycidae. The record is from RNAcentral.